GAUUUUCUCCUAUGUUAUCUUUUGGAGUUUUGUAGUUUUGCAUUUUGCAUUUAGGUCUAUGAUUGAUUUUGAGUUAAUUUUUCCAAAAGGUGCAAAGUUUGUGUCUACAUUCAUUUUUUUGCUUGUGAAUAUCCAGUUGCUCCAGCACCAUUUGUUGAAAAGACUAUACUUUCUCCACUCAGUUACUUUUGUUCCUUUGUCAAAGAUCACUUGACUAACUUUGUGUGGGCCUAUUUUUGGGCUCCGUUCUGUUCCGUUGAUCCUUUUGUCUAUUCUUUCACCAGUAUCACACUGUCUUGAUUAUUAUAGCUUUGUAUUAAGUAUUGAAGUCAUGUAGUAUCAGUCUUCCAGCUUUGUUCUUCUUUAGAAGCUGUUUUUAAUUGAGUUGUUUGUCUUUAUUGUUGAAUUGCAAGAUUUCUUUAUAUAUUCUGGAUACUAGACCCUUAGCCAGAUGUAUGAUAUACAGUUAUUUUCUCUAAUUUUUGUUGUCUUUUCUCUUUCUAGAUGAUGUUCUCUGAAGCACAUAAGUUUUUAAUUUUGAUGAAGUCCAGUGUAUCUGUUUUUUUCUUUGGUUGUUUCUGUUUUUGAUAGGAUAUCAAAACUAAGCCAAGGUCAUAAAUAUUUACUCCUAUGUAACUUCUAAAAAUUCUAUACAUUUAAUGUUCACCAGGAUGAGAAUGGUGAUGUGGCUUUUGUCUCACUAGGAUGAGAAUGGUGCCUUGGUCUCAUGGAAAAGCCUGGGGAAAGGCUGUUGCUGUGAAUGUGGUGGAUUCUCUACUUGUGCCUGUGCAGGACAAGGACAUGGAGCCACUUGGCCAACUAUGAGGCCGGAACACAUGAUGUCAAUGAAGAAGAAGCUUUAUAUGUGGGACGCUUACCACAGCAUGGCUUGCCGCGAUGCCAUGUCCACACCAGGAUCUGAACCGGCGAACCCCGGGCCAACGAAGCAGAACGUGCGCACUUAACCUCUGCGCCACCAGGCCAGCCCCUAUUUCUCCUUUUAUGUCUGUUAAUAAUUGCUUUAUAUAUUUAGGUGCUCCUAUAGUUGGGUGCAUAGGUUUUUACAAGUAUUAUAUCCUCUUGUUGGAUUGUUCCCUAUAUCAUUAUGUAGUGUCCUUCUUUGUCUCUUGUUACAGUUUUUAUUUUAAGGUCCAUUUUGUCUGAUAUAAGUAUUACCAUCCCUGUGGGUGUACUUUGAAGACUACGUAAAGAG
Molecule: long non-coding RNA, 1213 nt
Filed under: Equus asinus (donkey)
Lineage: Eukaryota; Metazoa; Chordata; Mammalia; Perissodactyla; Equidae
Description: lncRNA (ENSEASG00005024528.1)
Source: RNAcentral